UGAACGCUGGCGGCGUGCCUACUACAUGCACAUCGAGCGACCGGACGAGAAGCUUGCUUUUCUGAUGUUAGCGGCGGACGGGUGAGUAACACGUGGAUAACCUACCUAUAAGACUGGGAUAACUUCGGGAAACCGGAGCUAAUACCGGAUAAUAUUUUGAACCGCAUGGUUCAAAAGUGAAAGACGGUCUUGCUGUCACUUAUAGAUGGAUCCGCGCUGCAUUAGCUAGCUGGUAAGGUAACGGCUUACCAAGGCAACGAUGCAUAGCCGACCUGAGAGGGUGAUCGGCCACACUGGAACUGAGACACGGUCCAGACUCCUACGGGAGGCAGCAGUAGGGAAUCUUCCGCAAUGGGCGAAAGCCUGACGGAGCAACGCCGCGUGAGUGAUGAAGGUCUUCGGAUCGUAAAACUCUGUUAUUAGGGAAGAACAUAUGUGUAAGUAACUGUGCACAUCUUGACGGUACCUAAUCAGAAAGCCACGGCUAACUACGUG
RNAcentral lists this ribosomal RNA (495 nucleotides) under uncultured bacterium. RNAcentral describes it as "partial 16S ribosomal RNA". It matches the Rfam family "Bacterial small subunit ribosomal RNA", at positions 30 to 507 of the family's 1533-position model. The record is from RNAcentral.